GACUGAUUAGAUCACUAAGUGACUCGAGUUGACCCAUAUCAUUAAGAUUAAUUAGUAUGAUUGAUUUACAUGCUUUGGAUCGACUUGUCUCUAGUCCUUCUCAUUACUUGGUGAAGUCAGUGGGAGGAUUUAUGACUUGCCUAUUGGACCAGCUGGUCAUUAGUCUUUUACCUGAUUUGGUGAAGUCAGUUGGAGGAUUUAUGACUUGCAGGUUGACUAAUUGCUUCUAAAAUAUAUUAACCAAAUUUUCUUAAUUAUUAGGUCCAUAAAAUGAGUUAGUUAUGGGGAUAACUAGAUCAUAGCCUUCCAUUAAGGUACGUGAUAAUAAGUCCAAUAUUCUAAAUAGGUAUUGGAGGCAUCACACAUCUGGUGUCUAUUACAUAUUAAAAUUAUCAUCCAUCAUAUGACCAUCUUAUUGUAUCUUCAGAUCAAUGCUCAGAUUGGUCGAGCCACACUUGGAUCUGGAUAUCUUUUUGUUGGAUGCACUUAAUGUUGUCAUGUUAAUAGUUGGAUCUAACUAAGAUUUUCAGUGGAGGUGCCACACGCCUGCUGAAGGGAUGCCUGGGAUAAAAUCUGAUUGCUAAAAAUUAUUUGGAGAAAUAAUUGGUUAUGAACCUACCCAUGGAUGCACCAG
Molecule: long non-coding RNA, 634 nt
Filed under: Elaeis guineensis (African oil palm)
Lineage: Eukaryota; Viridiplantae; Streptophyta; Magnoliopsida; Arecales; Arecaceae
Description: long non-coding RNA (EGUI_LNC068273)
Source: RNAcentral